This 78-nucleotide transfer RNA is filed under the name Eubacteriales bacterium. Its description in RNAcentral is "tRNA-Arg". It matches the Rfam family "tRNA". Rfam says of the family: Transfer RNA (tRNA) molecules are approximately 80 nucleotides in length. Their secondary structure includes four short double-helical elements and three loops (D, anti-codon, and T loops). Further hydrogen bonds mediate the characteristic L-shaped molecular structure. tRNAs have two regions of fundamental functional importance: the anti-codon, which is responsible for specific mRNA codon recognition, and the 3' end, to which the tRNAs corresponding amino acid is attached (by aminoacyl-tRNA synthetases). tRNAs cope with the degeneracy of the genetic code in two manners: having more than one tRNA (with a specific anti-codon) for a particular amino acid; and 'wobble' base-pairing, i.e. permitting non-standard base-pairing at the 3rd anti-codon position. Lineage: Bacteria; Bacillati; Bacillota; Clostridia; Eubacteriales. The record is from RNAcentral.
GCCUCCGUAGCUCAGCUGGAUAGCAGCGUUCGCCUCCUAAGCGAAAGGUCGGCGGUUCGAAUCCGCCCGGGGGUGCCA